RNAcentral lists this ribosomal RNA (482 nucleotides) under uncultured bacterium. Its description in RNAcentral is "partial 16S ribosomal RNA". It matches the Rfam family "Bacterial small subunit ribosomal RNA", at positions 30 to 507 of the family's 1533-position model. The record is from RNAcentral.
AUUGAACGCUGGCGGCAUGCCUUACACAUGCAAGUCGAACGGUAACAGGUCUUCGGAUGCUGACGAGUGGCGAACGGGUGAGUAAUACAUCGGAACGUGCCCGAUCGUGGGGGAUAACGGAGCGAAAGCUUUGCUAAUACCGCAUACGAUCUACGGAUGAAAGCAGGGGACCGCAAGGCCUUGCGCGGACGGAGCGGCCGAUGGCAGAUUAGGUAGUUGGUGGGAUAAAAGCUUACCAAGCCGACGAUCUGUAGCUGGUCUGAGAGGACGACCAGCCACACUGGGACUGAGACACGGCCCAGACUCCUACGGGAGGCAGCAGUGGGGAAUUUUGGACAAUGGGCGAAAGCCUGAUCCAGCCAUGCCGCGUGCAGGAUGAAGGCCUUCGGGUUGUAAACUGCGUUUGUACGGAACGAAAAGACUCUUUCUAAUAAAGAGGGUCCAUGACGGUACCGUAAGAAUAAGCACCGGCUAACUACGUG